Molecule: ribosomal RNA, 202 nt
Filed under: Clostridioides difficile
Lineage: Bacteria; Bacillati; Bacillota; Clostridia; Peptostreptococcales; Peptostreptococcaceae
Description: partial 23S ribosomal RNA
Rfam family: Bacterial large subunit ribosomal RNA
Source: RNAcentral
AGAGUGUAAAGGCAAAAGAGAGCUUGAUUGCAAGACAUACAGGUCGAGCAAGGAUGAAAAUCGGACUUAGUGAUCCGGUGGUUCUGCGUGGAAGGGCCAUCGCUCAACGGAUAAAAGCUACCCUGGGGAUAACAGGCUUAUCUCCCCCAAGAGUCCACAUCGACGGGGAGGUUUGGCACCUCGAUGUCGGCUCAUCACAUCC